This is a long non-coding RNA of Zeugodacus cucurbitae (melon fly), 700 nucleotides long. RefSeq lists it as uncharacterized. The record is from RefSeq and is a predicted model, not a curated record. The transcript has 3 exons. NCBI's taxonomy places the organism in Eukaryota, Metazoa, Arthropoda, Insecta, Diptera, Tephritidae.
UGAUCCAUUAGUGGACGAAAAUGUUGAAGUUGACGAAACGCUGUCGUUAUGUUUAAAAACUUCGCUUCAAAAAGAUAUCAAUAAUUGGGAUGAGGUUAUUGACAAAUGGCAAAAAACAUUUACAUUUCGGAAAAAGGAUUUGGCAAAGCUUUCGAAUUCUGAUUUUUUGCAAGAGUGGCCAAUUUAAAAAGACUCCAGAGCACCAUUUCUGAUUAAUCUAGAUUUCAAUUUGAUUUAUCCAGCAAAAGAUAAUCUUUUAAAAACAAAGUGGGAUAAUUUUAAAACCAAGAUAGUGAACUACUACUAUGCCAACAUACGGAAUCAGCUAUCAAUAGAUCUUUUGAACCAAGCAAAAACGACGAAAAAAAUUGUUCUGCUGCCUUCAGCAAGAUUAAGUGUAGAUGGAAAUACAAAAAAGAAAGCCACCAUUAAAGAUGCUAAUGAAAGCUUCGUUUUGCAGUUAACAACAAUAAUCGCUAAUUGUCAAUACGAAUAAAAGAAAUUAUCGGUAAAUAUUUUUAUAAUAAAUUGACUGUACAGCCGUUUAUAAUUGUGGUAGGAGACUCUGAGGACGAUCUUAAAACCUUUUACAUUUACUUUGACAAAACUUUGUACAAACUAAAUUCUUUUAUUGAAAGUUUGGAUAUAUGCUUUAAAAUCUUUCACGUGUUUAAUCUUAAAUAUCCUAAGAUCUGCGAAA